UGAUUGGGUCAACAUGUUAAUCGU
This 24-nucleotide non-coding RNA is filed under the name Arabidopsis thaliana (thale cress). The record is from RNAcentral. Lineage: Eukaryota; Viridiplantae; Streptophyta; Magnoliopsida; Brassicales; Brassicaceae.